Molecule: long non-coding RNA, 534 nt
Organism: Magnolia sinica
Lineage: Eukaryota; Viridiplantae; Streptophyta; Magnoliopsida; Magnoliales; Magnoliaceae
Exons: 2
Source: RefSeq, a predicted model, not a curated record
UGGACGUACACGCCAAUUGGUAGCAUAGAAAUUGAAACUCGAAAUGGGUGGAUUGUCAGUUACCAUUUUUUUUCCAUCUUGAAGAUUUCAUUCAUCUCAAUGCAUGUUAUCUUUUUCUCUUCGUAGGACAUGUUUUCGAGGGGGCAAAACCCAAAGGCAGGGGAGCUCCGAAGAAAGCUCCUGUUAGAAAGCAGAAAAUGCCGACUGCCGUUGAUAGUGAAGAGGAAGAUGAUGAGGUGCUCGAGCUGAAAGAAUGAAUAAUUGUGUUGAGAUCAGGGCUGAAGUUGGAAAUGAAUGAUUGUGUUUGAUUGAAUGAAUGAAUGAUUGUGUUUGAUUGAAUGAAUAAAUGAUUGUGGUUGAUUGAAUGAAUGAAUGAUUUAGCUAUGAAGUAUUUAUCUAUAUCAGCUUAUAUGAGUUAUCAGGGUGUACUACAAUGGUAAGCGUUGUCAUUACUAUUUAAAUUUUUUAUUAACAAUAGGCAUUAGCUACAGCUAUUAACCGUAGCCCUUUAUUGAAAACUGUAGCUCUUGCUAA